AUGUACAUUCCUACAAUGUUAAUGCACCAUAUCCCAUCAGAACUCCUCAGUUAAGCACGCUUGGGCUAGAUUAGUAAUGGGAUGGGUGACCUCUAGGGAAGUCCUAAUGUUUUACAUG
Non-coding RNA from Picea glauca (white spruce), 118 nucleotides. Lineage: Eukaryota; Viridiplantae; Streptophyta; Pinopsida; Pinales; Pinaceae. The record is from Rfam.